AACGAACGCUGGCGGCAGGCCUAACACAUGCAAGUUGAACGCUGUAGCAAUACAGAGUAGCGCACGGGUGCGUAACGCGUGGGAAUAUGCCCUUCACUGCGGAAUAACGUUUGGAAACGAACGCUAAUACCGCAUAACGACUCCGGUCCAAAGAUUUAUCGGUGAAGGAUUAGCCCGCGUUAGAUUAGCUAGUUGGUGAGGUAACGGCUCACCAAGGCGACGAUCUAUAGCUGGUCUGAGAGGAUGAUCAGCCACACUGGGACUGAGACACGGCCCAGACUCCUACGGGAGGCAGCAGUGAGGAAUAUUGGACAAUGGGGGCAACCCUGAUCCAGCCAUGCCGCGUGAGUGAAGAAGGCC
RNAcentral lists this ribosomal RNA (360 nucleotides) under uncultured bacterium. RNAcentral's name for it is "bacterial SSU rRNA". It matches the Rfam family "Bacterial small subunit ribosomal RNA", at positions 29 to 416 of the family's 1533-position model. The record is from RNAcentral.